Molecule: ribosomal RNA, 547 nt
Filed under: uncultured bacterium
Lineage: Bacteria
Description: bacterial SSU rRNA
Rfam family: Bacterial small subunit ribosomal RNA
Source: RNAcentral
ACCCAAAGAAUAAGCACCGGCUAACUUCGUGCCAGCAGCCGCGGUAAUACGAAGGGUGCAAGCGUUACUCGGAAUUACUGGGCGUAAAGCGUGCGUAGGCGGUUUGUUAAGUCUGCUGUGAAAGCCCUGGGCUCAACCUGGGAACUGCAGUGGAUACUGGCGAGCUAGAGUGUGUCAGAGGAUGGUGGAAUUCCCGGUGUAGCGGUGAAAUGCGUAGAGAUCGGGAGGAACACCAGUGGCGAAGGCGGCCAUCUGGGACAACACUGACGCUGAGGCACGAAAGCGUGGGGAGCAAACAGGAUUAGAUAUCCUGGUAGUCCACGCCCUAAACGAUGCGAACUGGACGUUGGGCACACUUAGGUGCUCAGUGUCGAAGCUAACGCGUUAAGUUCGCCGCCUGGGGAGUACGGUCGCAAGACUGAAACUCAAAGGAAUUGACGGGGGCCCGCACAAGCGGUGGAGUAUGUGGUUUAAUUCGAUGCAACGCGAAGAACCUUACCUGGCCUUGACAUGUCCGGAAUCCUGCAGAGAUGCGGGAGUGCCUUUC